Motacilla alba alba is the source of this 3968-nucleotide long non-coding RNA. RefSeq lists it as uncharacterized. The transcript has 3 exons. NCBI's taxonomy places the organism in Eukaryota, Metazoa, Chordata, Aves, Passeriformes, Motacillidae. The record is from RefSeq and is a predicted model, not a curated record.
GAACAGAUAUUUAGUACUGAGGAAUGGAAAUAAAUAAUUAGGAAAAAUAAAAAAAAGUUAAAGUUUAAAACCAAAGUCGACAAUUAAACAUGAGGAUGACUGGCCUGUGUUUAAGAAGAGUUCAGUACUACACUUAUUGUAGUAGAAAUAUUUUAUUUCUGCAUCCCAAAUGAUACAGCCCAUGUACACUUGAUCAGUUCUGAACUGCUAGUUGUUUGGGGAAUUCUCAUAAGUGAAGGUAACACACUUAGAGAACUCUUAAUACAUUGUUUCUUGAGUAGCUUCACAUAUACAUUUUGAAUCCUGAGAUGAGAUAGGAACCAAAACAUCUUGCACUUGCUCUAACAUGGAAGCUUAUCUCUACAAUCCGAACAUACUAGCAAUAUGUUUUUGUCAAGUUCUUAGGUCAAUCUUGUAGAAACAUCUAUUGUCUACUAAACCAGCUACAUUCCUACUAUAACUCUUCAGUUGGCUUUAGCUGAAAGCAUGGAUAGAAUCACAGAAUGGUUUAGGUUGGAAGGGACCUUAAAGAUCAUCUAGCUCCAAACCCUCUGCCAUGGGCAGGGACACCUUCCACUACUCCAGGUUGCUCAAAGCCCUGUCCAGACUGGUCUUGAUGACUGGUCACCUCUAGGGAUGGGGAGUCCACAACCUCUUUGGACAACUUACCCCAGUGCCUCACCACCCUCAAUCUUCCUAAUAUCAAUCUAGCCUACUCUCUUUCAGCUUAAGUCCACUUCCCUUUGUCCUAUCACUACAUGGCCUUCUUAAAAGUCCGUCUUGAGCUCUUCCCUUUACAUACUGGAAAGCCACAAUAAUGUCUUCCUGGAAUCUCUUCCAGGCUGAACAACCCUGUCUCUCUCAGCCUGUCUUCACAGGACAGGUGCUGCCAUCCCGUGAUCAGAGCCACUGUGAUUAGUGGCCUCCUCUGGACUAGUUCCAACAGGUCCAUGUAUUUAAGCUGGGGAGCCCGAGACCUGGAUGCAUUAUUACAGGUGGGGUCUCACCAGAGCAGGGGCACAGAAUCCCCUUCCUUGACCUGCUGGUCUCACCUCUUCUGAUGCAGCCCAGGUGGCUGAGUUUCUGAGCUGCAAACACAUGAUGCUGGUUCAUAUUCAGCUUUUUAAAAAACCACAAACAUGCCCAAGUCCUUCUCCCCAGGGCUAGUCUCGACCCAUUCUCCACGCAGACUAUAUUUGUGCCUAGGAUUGCCUCAAUCCAGGUGCAGGACCUUGUACUUGGCCUUGUUGAACUUCAUGACGUUUGCAGAAGCUGCUGUUCUCCUACUUAGUGUGAUGAGAAACAUACAUCUAAUAUUAGCAUAAUUGGGAUGGGACCAAAGCAUUGGCAAAAGAAACAAACACGCUGAUUCACAGCAAAAAGGCCAUAAGAGCAUUACAGUCCUAACACAGAGUUAGGAGCAAUUGCUAGCAAAAGAGGUCAGGGAAACAGAAGUAUUUGGGGCAGGAAAAAUAUAAGAAAUAACAGGACUCCCAUUUAUAAUCAUGUGACACUUAAACUGCCUUUUGUUUCGUGUUUAUAGCUCCCCCAUAUAAAGAUGGAGAGUUUGCCUAUCUGUACUACACAGAUUUCUUCAGACAUUUGUGAUUUUCAGAGACUUAAAUGUUUCCAGCAAUACUGUAAGGUCUCAAUACAAAACUUAGGCUUCCUGACAGACAUACUGUACUCGAUUAUCUCACACAGAUGUGCUAGAUGUAUGCCAGAGACUUUCAGGGAGCUGCACUCCAUAGGAUAAAAACCACUAUAAAAUAAAAUCUCAACUUGCAUCAUGUACAAUUUAUGAGACAUUAAAUACAGCUGCUAUAUGUUCAAAUAGCACUGAAUGUUAGAAAAUGACAGCAAGUGUAGCUUUUAAACUUUCUUUUCAUUUGGUUUUUCUUUUUCUUAUUUUGAUUCAAGAUGAGCUAAACCACAAUAAAAACAGAGCAAAGAUUUUAAGUAAAACACGUUAAUGGUGACAAAAAUGGCAGUCACAGAACAAUCAUAGAGUCAUAGAAUAUCCUGAGUCAGACGGGACCUACAAGUGUGACUGAAGUCCAACAAGUAUACAAAUCUAGAUGGGAAAAGUAUGACUUUGAGAUGAACGCCCAAGUUCCUAUUUCCCUCAGCUGCAAGACUAAGAGUAAAAUGCAAAGCGUAAGAGGUGUGAAGUUAAUGCUGUUGCUUUGCAUAAUGGUAGAAGAUGCUAAUCAUCACCAGGAUUCUAUAUGGGAAUUAAUGCCAUCAAGUCAAGGACGAAAUCUCAGUGUAUUUAUGAUCAAGCCAUUUUACACCGUUCACUUUUUUUUUCUGGCUACCUCAGAAAAGAAAGCUGCUGGAGGGAAGAGAGUGUUCUGCAGAAACAUUUAGAGGAUACGCUGUUUCCCUCACGGGUGUCUGAGAUUGCGAUCCUCUGGGAAUAGCGAAAAGACUCGGAGGAAAAGACGGGUGUUGUUGGAACUGCGCCUGCCGUCGGGCGGAGCUGCAGAACUGAUACAUACUGGGCACGAGUGGGGUCUCAAAUUGGAGAAACCGACCCUGCAUCCAGCACAUUACCCACCAGCUGGUUGCGCGGGAUCCGAGCUGCACGGACGCCCGAGGGUCACGCCAAAGGGAAGGGAAACAGGAGCGGGAAGGCUUCUCCGCCGGGCAGGGACCGGCAUCGCCCGGCACCGGCUGUACCGGCACCCGCCGUGGGGGCCGCCCGCUCUGCCCCAGCGCUCACCUGUAGGCGCUAAGGAGCGCCUUGUUGACCAGCACGUUCAAGUGAGGGAAAGAAGCUUCCCUUCUCAUCUGAAUUUCCUGACUUCACAUGAGAGGAAGAAGUUAAAGCAAGCAGUCAUCAAGAAAGAGUUCUCCAUGCAAACUGUAACCAGAAGAACAAAGGUAGCAGGUGUCUCCUUCCUCAAGUGGAUCUGACUGCACCCAAUACACAAAGGUAUGCCAUGCCACCACCCUCAGGAAGGCAACAAAAUGAGGGUGAGUCUGGCUCACUAAUUCAGAGGAAUGACAGGAUAAGCUCUACUCAGUUAAGUAGUUUUUACAAGUUCAACACGUUGUAGGACAGAGUGAAAUAACACAUUUUGACCAAAACAUGAGGAAUGCUGCUGUUUAAUAUCAUUAUCUAGGUUAGUCAUAGUGACCUGAGUCAGAAGGAGAUGGUGAGAGCCAAGGCUUUUGUGGGAUUUUGUUUGGUUGGUUUGCAGGCAGUGCUGGUGGUUGUGUCUGUAUUGUGAGCUACAUUUGUUCAUGUUUUAUGGCAAACACGGUGUUCUGUUGAAGAAAUAAAAUGUAUUUGCUUGUUUUAAAAAAAAACCAAACAGCAUCUUCAGUUUAAGCUCAGCUGAGUAUUGAGUGAGUUCAUCAUACAUUUAAACUUAACUGCAAAUCACACUCUAAAUACAGUUCAGUAAGUUAGCAUGAUCUCCUCCACCCCAGAAAAUUAAUUUUACGUGGUGGGAAAAAACAACUGGGUGGUGAUUUUAAGCAUGUGGACUCUUCUCUUAAACUUUAAGCACACUUUCUAGGAUGUGACAAUCCUGAAGUUGCCAGCCACUUUUAAAGUUACUGAAACCUCUUACAGCAAAACUUCAAUUGUGAUGUGAAAAAUCAGAAAAGAGAAAACAAAUCACAAAGAAGAGGCAAUCAGGAUACAAAGUGCUACCAAGCUCAAGUACAGAGCACCAAGCCCAAGACUAGUUCUCUUUUUUACAAAGUGAGUCUGUGACAUCGACAGAUAAAAUGUUUGCACAAUUUGACUAUACUAUUAUAGCCCAAAUUACUGCUACACUUCCCCAUGACAAAUAUGGUUACAAAGACUUUGACUGACUAACAAGUACUCGGAGCAAAGUAUGAUUAAUCUAGCAGUUACAAUAAAAUCAUAACAGGUCAAGUUCUUUGGGGUUCCUUUAUGUUUGUUUGGGGGCGCUUAACUCCUUUAUUCUGCUUCCUAAGUGGGUCUCCCCAGC